Non-coding RNA from Phoenix dactylifera (date palm), 366 nucleotides. NCBI's taxonomy places the organism in Eukaryota, Viridiplantae, Streptophyta, Magnoliopsida, Arecales, Arecaceae. The record is from RefSeq and is a predicted model, not a curated record.
CCCGAGUUUUACUACUUGUGCGAUCUCCUGUACUUGGGAGAGCAGUUUUAUAAACACAUCAAGUUUUUGGCGCCGUUGCUGGCGAAUGGCUGAAUUAUUAGUAUAUUUUCAGAUUUAAUUAGAGAUUUAGUUUAGGUAAAAAAUUAUUUCAUCUGACGUACUCUCCCCUAGAUCCGGGAAUAGCGAUAUGAACUAAAUGUCCUGCCCAAGCCAAGGAACUUAUUCCGAAAAGUCUUGACAAAUGAUGAUUGAGACGAAAUUCGGCAUUUUUGAAGCAUGAAAUACUUGGUUUCCAUUUGGGUUGUAGAUGUAACCAACCCGCUAUUAAGGAUAUAGCAGAAAGAAAUAAUAGAAAAACAUAUAGAU